Lontra canadensis (Northern American river otter) is the source of this 521-nucleotide long non-coding RNA. RefSeq lists it as uncharacterized. The record is from RefSeq and is a predicted model, not a curated record. Lineage: Eukaryota; Metazoa; Chordata; Mammalia; Carnivora; Mustelidae. The transcript has 4 exons.
CUUCCCAAAGCAACAUUUUAUCCAGUACUCAAAGAUUCUGAAGGUACUGUGAAAUGAUACAUAUCCUGUUUGCAGGUGAGGAAGAUACCAGCUUUCAGCUCAGCUUUACACUUUAAAGAUGCCUCACUGAAAAGAGGACAAAGGCUCUGCCAUCCACCUGUCAUUAUGACCCAGGGAGGUUCAUAAUUGAGAGGAAGCAGUGACAUUUUCAAUAGACUGUGUUUCCAUCUCAACUACUCCAAACAAGGAAUCACAAGUUCCAAUUCCAGGAGAGUUGGGUCAGACUUUCAUCUCUUGGAGCCAAGAAAGUAAGUGUCAUGAGAACUACUUGGUGCUUUGGGAUGUGACUUUUAAAACAAAAGGACAAAUGUGCACAUUUCAAGAGACUUGUGGGAUAUCCCUGGUGGGAUAGUUGCCUCUUCAACAAAGUAAAAGUUAUAUAGACUGAAUGUAAUAUCAUUCUGCUUAGACUCUUUCUUUUUUUUUUGUUCUGGAAAUUACCUCAUCCUACCUUUUCUCUG